UUUUUUUUUUUUUUUUCAUUUACACAGCGGAGAAGGAAAAAAAAAACUCGGGAUGGAUACAGUUGAACACACUGCCUCUACAAUCCUGGUCGUACAAAUAGUGACUAAGAAUUUAAAGAAAGGACUCUUUCUAUUCCAUACUGGAGCUUUGGUUGUUUACAAACCACAUGGAUAUCUGUGGGUGCAGUUUUGUUUUUCUUUUCUUUUCUUUUUUUUUUUUUUUUGGCUUUUUUGUUCCCACAUAAGACGGGUGGGGUUUGCAAGUGCGCUUCUGCCAUAUGGACAUUGAGUGGUGUUGGGGUUUUUUGAGGAAGAGUGGCAGGUAUCACAACAACAUGGACAAGAUCCUCUAAGUGGACUUUUGUUUGUGGUCGUGGGUCUUGAGACUUGAUCAUCAACCGUGGAGCAGAGGCGAAAGAAAUCAAGGAUGGGCUCUGUUUUGUGGAGAACGGAGUGCAGGGCUGCAGAACCCUAGAGGGAACUGAGAAGGCAAUAUGAGUACUCCUGGUUAGUGCACUUGUCUUCACCUCAACCCUCAUACGCACCCACACCCUGCCCUCACCAACUCACCUAUGCACUUUUGUUCAUUCAAGCUGUGAGGUACAAUUUUGGGGAUGGGAGCACAAUUACAACAGGAGGAUUGCUACGACUUUGACAAAGUCACUGAAAAGAUAUUCCCAAACUGAAAUAAGAGACUUGAGAAGCACGUCUUCUCCCACCUCCUGUAUAUAACCAUAUUUUUGUAUUACCUUUCAAAGUAGAAAGAAAAUUUGCAAAUGGAUGAAGGAAAAUUCAUGAGACGUUGAAUAUAUGGAGUGAAUGUUCUUCAUGAAAACCAAUCUUUUUGAAUAUAGUUUGAGAUGGACUCGCUGUGAGUUUCCAUUAGUUUGCCAGUAACCCUGAAAUAAUCGGGGAUGGAACGGAAAUCCACAUGGACUGAGGUGUUGGACAUGCUGCAGCUCCAAGACUGACUGAUAGUUACUUAUCAAAAUGGACGUUGCAGUGGCUACAAAGAGUCCACCAAGAGUGUUUGAUCAACACACACACAGUGAAGAGGCAGACUCGGGUUUAAAGAGCUUUUGGCAAGGAUGCUUCCAACCCGACGGCUGCCUUGAGAGCUGUAAAGUGAAUGCAGGAGAAAAAAGGGUUCGGCAUUGGAGUCUGGCUGUGCUUUAUUUGCUGCCCUCUGCAAGGAGGAUCUAAUCUACAGCCAACCAAUGAACCAGUUAACCCUAAACCUGUCCCGUUGAACUUUAACCCUAAGAAACUUUUCAUGACCUCAGAUUGGGCAGGCCAUUGGCAUUAUCAGUUGGACAGUUACCAGGUGAAGUUACAGGUGUAUCAACCAUCAAUCCCAUCUGUGUUGGAAGUAAUCAGAUUUGGGAUUUGAUGACACGCUCUCCAACGAGGAAGAGGAUAAAACGGCACGUAUUGCCCAGAUGUCAUCAUCCACCUCGACCUGAAACUCUUGGGAGGUUGCGUAGAGGUCUUCUAACCAGUGGGACAAGAAGACCUGCCCUCCUGCCCUGACGUCAGAGAUGGAGAGCCGGGUUGAGUCAUGGUGGACGUGGCUGGAUUACAUCUCAGCCCCCGGAAAUCCCUGCAACUGUGGAACUGGAUGAACUGAAAGAAUUGUACAAAAAAAAUAAGAAGAAGAAGAAGAAGAAAAAAAAAGACUUUGAAACAUGACAAAACACAAACUACACAUCACAUAGAUUCUAGAGUCCAAAGGAGCGGCAGACACACUACAUGCACACUUACAGCAAAAGUUACAUUGGCUCUCCUCUGGAACCAUGUCUGCACACAUGACAGGGAUGCAUCAAUAUCAAGUCACACAGAUACAAAGACACACAAGCAUCAACGCUCAUCAAUAUAAACGCUGAGCUUUGUAAAUAAUGUAAAAGUUUGUGUUUUGAUUUUUCUCUCAUAGUGGGUUUUGCUUUAUUUCUUGGUUCAACAUGCCUUAAAUUGUAUAGUUCAGUCUUGAAUGGCUAACUGAAAAAAAAUGUUCUCUAAAUGACAAAUUUGAGUUGGAAACCACCUUGUUAACUGUACUCUAAAGUUAAAGAAAGAAAGGUUUCAGCAAGACUGUUUUCUGUUGGCUAACAGAAUUGCCCUGUAUAAACCUGCUACAUGUACAUCUGAUCACCUUUAAAGUUACUAGUUAACUACAGAAUAGAGCAGUAAGUGUUUUUUGAUUGAGCUAAUUUUGCCGGUGGUUGGCUUUUGUUGCCCUUUUUGUUUUCAUUAAAACGAAGAGUGGGUUUUGUUCGGAUUUCCUAUUUAGAUUUUUGCUGAAGGUGCAGGCUUAAUAAAGGGCUCAAGUCUGUACUGUCUGGAGCUUAGCUGAUUGGGUAGGAUGCAAAGAAUUGUCUUCAAGCACAAACUUGUUGCAGUGUGAUAACUGUUGGACACACAGCUUUGGGCAAAACUGAACCAGAGUGGCAGGUCAAAUGAGAUACAAGUUAGUGCAUUUGGUUCAUUAUAUACACUCCAGGGACUGAAAUGGUUUAGAAGAUACAAGGUACUUUUUUUUUUUUUUACAGUUUUGAGAUGAUGACUCAGGCUUGUAUGAUACGAGUAAUUCUAAGUUAAAGCUUGCAAGAUUUGUAAUAUUUGUGGGUUUUGACACUAAACCUUGAGGUGAGUCACAACCUGGCCGAGAGUGCCUCUCCUCCGUCUGUGCACCUUGUAGUGCUGCUGACCAUCUCUGAUGGCGCUGAAUAGAUAAUAAUUGACCAAGCAGAUGUGUCUGAAUCUGGAAGGAAGUCUUGGACAGUGUCUUGUUCUGUGUAUGCAUAUUGAAUUGGAUUCAAGAGAUUAAUGUUUUUAGUAAAACAAUAGUUUUUUGUUUUGUACCCUUAAUAACGGAACAGUAUGCAGUUUUUAAUCCUCGUGGCAUCUGAUAUAUUUGAUAACAUCAGAUUAGACUUGUGAUAAACUUGUACAUUUUGAUUUGGUGAGGGUUUUGGUUGGUUGGUAUCACUUGAAGUAGCCACAGUAGGCUCCCGUAUGCCAUAACCACUGACUUGAUAGUCAUGUUCACACAGUGAAUAAAAUGACAACUAAACUUUCAAAUUGUCACCAUCAGUUGCCAAAACAGAGAAAUUGACUUGAAACAGAUUAGUAUGCUGUCAACUCCUUUAUUAGUGAAUAACUUUAAAAUUGCCUAGGUUUGACAUUUUUAAAAGCUGAUAUUGUGUAGUACGAAUCGCUGGUCAGUCAUCUGUUUUACUGUACUCCACAGGCUUUUAUGAUCAGAUACAUUACAGUAUUGUGUUGUCAAGAAGCCCUGGAUGGUUGGUUUCAGCUUGUGAAAAGAUCCUGUCACGUCCCAGCCUGUCUACUCAAGGAUAUAAAGUUGAUUGUCUGGUUCUUUGUUGCCUGUUGCUGUUGUUCCAACCUUAAUGAUAUGAUACACCCCAGUCAGCUCAGCUCCUUCGCUUAAGUCUUUAAAUGUUGUUAAACUAACAGCAUACGUGUAAUGAAACUGUUUUGGAAAAGAACAACUGAAAGAUGUGUAAAUAGUUUGGCUUUUGUUUGUUUGAAGAACAAAAUAAAUACUAAAUAAAUAGCAUUUAGCUGUG
Molecule: long non-coding RNA, 3587 nt
Organism: Stegastes partitus (bicolor damselfish)
Lineage: Eukaryota; Metazoa; Chordata; Actinopteri; Pomacentridae
Exons: 2
Source: RefSeq, a predicted model, not a curated record